This 710-nucleotide ribosomal RNA is filed under the name Pseudomonas fluorescens. Its description in RNAcentral is "bacterial SSU rRNA". It matches the Rfam family "Bacterial small subunit ribosomal RNA", at positions 56 to 755 of the family's 1533-position model. The record is from RNAcentral. Lineage: Bacteria; Pseudomonadati; Pseudomonadota; Gammaproteobacteria; Pseudomonadales; Pseudomonadaceae.
UGCAAGUCGAGCGGUAGCACAGGGGAGCUUGCUCCCUGGGUGACGAGCGGCGGACGGGUGAGUAAUGUCUGGGAAACUGCCUGAUGGAGGGGGAUAACUACUGGAAACGGUAGCUAAUACCGCAUAACGUCACAAGACCAAAGAGGGGGACCUUCGGGCCUCUUGCCAUCACAUGUGCCCAGAUGGGAUUAGCUAGUAGGUGGGGUAAUGGCUCACCUAGGCGACGAUCCCUAGCUGGUCUGAGAGGAUGACCAGCCACACUGGAACUGAGACACGGUCCAGACUCCUACGGGAGGCAGCAGUGGGGAAUAUUGGACAAUGGGCGCAAGCCUGAUGCAGCCAUGCCGCGUGUGUGAAGAAGGCCUUCGGGUUGUAAAGCACUUUCAGCGAGGAGGAAGGUGGUGAGCUUAAUACGCUCAUCAAUUGACGUUACUCGCAGAAGAAGCACCGGCUAACUCCGUGCCAGCAGCCGCGGUAAUACGGAGGGUGCAAGCGUUAAUCGGAAUUACUGGGCGUAAAGCGCACGCAGGCGGUUUGUUAAGUCAGAUGUGAAAUCCCCGGGCUCAACCUGGGAACUGCAUUUGAAACUGGCAAGCUAGAGUCUCGUAGAGGGGGGUAGAAUUCCAGGUGUAGCGGUGAAAUGCGUAGAGAUCUGGAGGAAUACCGGUGGCGAAGGCGGCCCCCUGGACGAAGACUGACGCUCAGGUGCG